Hemicordylus capensis (graceful crag lizard) is the source of this 3083-nucleotide long non-coding RNA. RefSeq lists it as uncharacterized. The record is from RefSeq and is a predicted model, not a curated record. NCBI's taxonomy places the organism in Eukaryota, Metazoa, Chordata, Lepidosauria, Squamata, Cordylidae. The transcript is spliced from 2 exons.
ACCGGCCGUGACUGCCUCCCAACUGGCGCCCUCAGCGCGGCGGUGGCGGCAGUGGAGACACGCCCCCUCCUUUUUCUAUUGGACACACCUCUUUUGCCCGCUCCCCGCCCAACACUCCAGGGGCGGGGGCAAGCAGGCUGACGUCAGGGCGAGGAACUUUCAGGGUUGCGGCAAGACUUGCCGGUCUUAACUUGAGCCGGCGCGACCCUGGUCUGACCCACAUGGUCCCAUCCCAUCCCUAAAUAGUUCUGUUCAUAGUAUGUCCCGGUUAGUGACAGAAACAAUUUAAUGGUGAGAGAAGAAGAAUUUAAUGGAGAAGAAUUUAAUGGAGAGAGAAGAAAGCGUCCCUCCCCCCCACGCCCGCCCGGACAGGCGUUCGCGCAGACUGACCUGGCCGCACGGUCUUGAGACGCACCGGCUCCCUGAAGUGGCGGAGGAUGGCCAGGGUGUCGCGGUGAGUGAGGCCGCUCACAGGGGUGCCGUUCACCUCCAGCAGCACGUCCCCGGGGCUGGGGGACUUCCCCGAGAGCAGCAUGGGGCCGCUGGUCCCGCCGCCGGACUCAGCCAGCGUCGGCAGGCGAGCCCCCAGAUAAGGGAACUCGCCGCGCUCAGCGCCACCCUGCAGGAGGUCAGGGUCCGGGCCGAAGCCGCCCCCCCAGGACACGGCGCACUCCUGCACUUUGCUCAGCCAGUGCCGCUUCGUCCGCAGCGUUUUAGACAUGAGGCCGCACCAUGGGCGCUGCUUCGCGCGCUGCUCUGUCCCACAGCAGCGGCUAGCAGCGAGCACCGCCUCACCGCCAACCAAGCGUCAAUUCGCGCCAACCAAGCUCUGUCCCACAGCAGCGGCUAGCAGCGAGCACCGCCUCACUGCCAACCAAGCGUCAAUUUGCGCCAACCAAGCGUCAAUCCGUGCCUCCUUCCCUUCAGCCGCCACCGGCCGCGACUGCCUCCCAACUGGUGCCCUCAGCGCGGCGGUGGCGGCAGUGGAGACAUGCCCCCCUCCUUUUUCUAUUGGACACACCUCUUUUGCCCGCUCCCCGCCCAACACUCCAGGAGCGGGGGCAAGCAGGCUGACCUCAGGGCAAGGAACUUUCAGGGUUGCGGUAAGACUUGCAGCGGCUAGCAGCGAACACCGCAUCACCGCCAACCAAGCGUCAAUUCACGCCAACCAAGCUCUGUCCCACAGCAGCGGCUAGCAGAGAGCACCGCCUCACCGCCAACCAAGCGUCAAUUCACGCCAACCAAGCGUCAAUUCGCGCCUCCUUCCCUUCAGCCGCCACCGGCCGUGACUGCCUCCCAACUGGCGCCCUCAGCGCGGCGGUGGCGGCAGUGGAGACAUGCCCCCCCUCCUUUUUCUAUUGGACACACCUCUUUUGCCCGCUCCCCGCCCAACACUCCAGGGGUGGGGGCAAGCAGGCUGACGUCAGGGCGAGGAAGUUUCAGGGUUGCAGCAAGACUUGCAGUGGCUAGCAGCGAGCACCGCCUCACCGCCAACCAAGCGUCAAUUCACGCCAACCAAGCUCUGUUCCACAGCAGCGGCUAGCAGCGAGCACCGCCUCACCGCCAACCAAGCGUCAAUUCGCGCCAACCAAGCGUCAAUUCGCGCCUCCUUCCCUUCAGCCGCCACCGGCCGCGACUGCCUCCCAACUGGCGCCCUCAGUGUGGCGGUGGCGGCAGUGGAGACAUGCCCCCCUCCUUUUUCUAUUGGACACACCUCUUUUGCCCGCUCCCCGCCCAACACUCCAGGGGCGGGGGCAAGCAGGCUGACGUCAGGGCGAGGAACUUUCAGGGUUGCGUCAAGACUUGCCGGUCUUAACUUGGGCCGGCGCGACCCUGGUCUGACCCACAUGGUCCCAUCCCAUCCCUAAAUAGUUCUGUUCGUAGUAUGUCCUGGUUAGUGACGGAAACAAUUUAAUGGUGCGAGAGAAAGUGCUUUGCGGAACAGUAUGCAAUGCCUCAAAUCUCCUAAACCUUGUAUUUGACCUAAAUUUGACCCACUUCAUUGUAAGCCCUUUAAUUUUGGAAUUCCUGUAGAUGCCACUAGAAUUUAUUUCAGUUUGCUCAGAAUCGCAGAUUUGCAGCCCGAGAUGCAAGCCUGUUUGCAAUUCCACUGAGUUCAAAGGGACUUACUUCAAGUCCAAAGUAUCUGUAUAGACAGCUGUCACCACAUCAGCCCAAACAGCAAAUCCAUCUCCAGAGCAUCUCUGUACCUUGCACUUCAUGCAUGCUGCAAUGAUUAUGGCUUCCUUAACUCCAGCUCCACUGCUGCAACAAAAACAGAGCCCUGUUGAAAAACCAGCAUUAAUUCCUGUCUCUGCCUUUGUUGGCAUAAGAUCUGCAUACUUUCCCUUCCCUCUCCUUUGCUGAUUUACUUGUAACACCUCACAAGCAUGUAAAGUAUCUGAGCUCAUCUGGAGAUAACCAGGAGGAAUGUGUGCAUUUCAAGUGCCUACCUAAUGUAUUGAGGUGUGAAGCAUUAUGUAUUUAUUAGAGUGUUAAAGCCUAAAAUCUCAGAGAGCUAGGGCUCUAUCACACCUGGGGAAAGGAGUGGUUUUAGUUGAAAGUGCAGUACAAAGAAAAGGUUGCAGCCUUCGUUGUGGCUAUCAGUAUUCAACUCAUGUAGAAAUCCUACUCCAAAGAAGGGAAAUGUGAUCUUUAUUGGUGUUAUAAUUAGAGGAAGAGGCAGAUCAGGUCAAUAGAUCUCUUUGGUAGGGAGGGAAACAUCAUUUGUUUAUGCCAAUGUGAAGGCAAAGGGGAAAAAAACAAACGUUAGAAAAUGCAUCAUAAGAUGAAGUAUCUAAUAACAAUGCUAAGAUGGACUGUUUGCACUGCAAAAUGAGGGGAAACUAUGCAGAAGCUACAGAAGGCUUAUUACAAAAAUAUGUUUUUUCCUGAUCGCCAAUCCUUUCAAAAGGAAAACAGAUAGCUCAGGAUUUGUAAUGCCAUUAUAGUUUUCCUAGGAGCUCUGUUUUAAUUUUUGGUGUGGGGAGAGGGAGGAGGGGAGAAAAACAGCCACAAGGUAUGUAGAAUCAUGCUGUAAGACUCAUAACAGGUCAGUCUUAUAAAUGCUUACUCAAGACCUA